Molecule: ribosomal RNA, 253 nt
Filed under: uncultured bacterium
Lineage: Bacteria
Description: partial 16S ribosomal RNA
Rfam family: Bacterial small subunit ribosomal RNA
Source: RNAcentral
UACGUAGGGGGCGAGCGUUGUCCGGAGUUACUGGGCGUAAAGCGCGCGCAGGCGGUCUUCCAAGUCAGUGGUGAAAGCCCGGAGCUCAACUCCGGAACUGCCAUUGAAACUGUGAGACUGGAGUACGAGAGAGGUGAGUGGAAUUCCCAGUGUAGAGGUGAAAUUCGUAGAUAUUGGGAAGAACACCGGUGGCGAAGGCGGCUCACUGGCUCGUAACUGACGCUCAGGCGCGACAGCGUGGGGAUCAAACAGG